Molecule: unclassified non-coding RNA, 1007 nt
Filed under: Hevea brasiliensis (rubber tree)
Lineage: Eukaryota; Viridiplantae; Streptophyta; Magnoliopsida; Malpighiales; Euphorbiaceae
Source: RNAcentral
UUUUUUUUUUUUUUUUCAUAUUAGAAUUCAAGAUUUAUUUGAAAAAUAUAUAUAUAUAAAGAAUCAAAAUUUAAUAUAGAAUUUAGACCUAGUCAUUUAUCUUUAAAUUGCGUUGAUCGUUUUUAUACUGGUGUCCAAUUUGAAACAUGCCUUACUUUCAAGUUUUCAGUCUGAGUGCACACUUUUUGAUAAGAGAAAUAGUCUUUUGAGUUUGUCUCACACUUCAAUUGCCAAUAUAUCCAAUCACUCAGAAAAUUACCAAACUGCUACCAUUACAACAACAAGCCUACAACAGUAGACAAACUCUCGUCAGACUACCACAUUAGAUCCUGUCAUCUCUACAAGAGUAGCCAGCACCUACCACAUUAAUAAAUUGGAGAAAAACUCUCCCCAACUAAUUUUAACCCCUGGUUUCAUUUUUGCCUAUAUUUUUAUAAAUUUUAAGUGAAUUUUCUAUUAUGAAGAUAAUAAUAAUAAUAAUAUCUCAACACGAUUUUAUAUUAUGAAUUGUCCACGGGAUAUUUCUUUUAAUAUUGCAAGUUUAAGCAAUCUUACUAAAGCUUCUCAAAUAAAUUAUUUCUUUGAAAGCCUCUUCCCCUACUGCUCUAUCUAUCACUCCAUAUAAAUCCCUUUAGCUUUUUUACUCUUACUGUUAUAAUCAUAUGAUAUUUUCUAUCUUAAAUAUCAAACAACUAAUACUUCCAUUCCACUUUUUCAUAUUGCUAAUGGUACUCUAAUGAUAGUCACUCAUAUUUUCCAUACUUCUACUUUAAAUUUAGGUCUUUCUAAUACCCUUUGUGUUCCUAAUUUAACCUUUAAUAUUAUAUUUAUUGACUCCAAACUAUCUGCAACUCACAAACUGUUCUGAAUUUAACUUGAAAUUCUAUAAGCUUGCAAGCUAUUUUAACUUGAAAAAACAUAUCUUAUUGUGAUAUUAAUAAUACUACAAGUCUACAAUCUAAUUCUUAAAUAUAUAUAUAUGCAAAAGAAAAUUUAAUUUAUUUUUU